CCGCGGAGCCGGAGCCCUUUCACUCCACGCUUUUUACAGCGUACGCACGCGCACGCUCAUCUUCUCGUCUCUCUCUCUAGCUCACCUGGCCGACUGGCAGCCACGUACACGGAGCCGCCGCCACCUGCCGCGACAUGGCCGUCCUUCCUUUCAGGCUGCGGCUGCGCACGGCGGCCAUUUCCGGCCCGAGCCCCUCGUCUUCUGUCGUCUGUCCUAGCAGGCAGCACAGAGACGGUGGCUCCUUCUCCUGCCGCGCCGCGGCGGCAGCCGGGGGACCGAUCAUCGUCUCCGGGGACCCGCCCACGUUCGUCUCCGCCCCCGGCCGCCGCAUUGUCGCUGUUGGCGACCUCCAUGGUGAUCUCCACCAAACGAGGGCUGCACUGGUGAUGGCCGGUGUCCUGAGCACGGAAUCAGAUUGUCAUGUAUGGACAGGCGGGCAGACGGUUCUGGUUCAAGUUGGGGAUAUCCUUGACCGUGGAGAAGAUGAAAUCGCAAUACUGUCCCUGUUGAGUUCACUCAAUGUGCAAGCAAAAUCUCAAGGCGGUGCUGUGUUUCAGGUAAACGGAAAUCAUGAAACCAUGAAUGUGGAAGGCGAUUUCCGGUACGUCGAUCCAGGAUCAUUUGAUGAGUGUAUACGCUUCCUGGAAUACUUGGAGGAAUUUGAUGGCGAGUGGGAUGAUGCUUUCCUCAACUGGGUUAAUGUUUCUCAAAAGUGGAAGGAAGAAUAUCGGGUGUCGCCUAAUGGUGACUGGCUUCCUUUGAACUUUGUCAAGAAAAAUAAAGGGUUCGCUGCAAGAGCAUCACUUUUUAAGCAAGGUGGACCAUUAGCUUGCGAAUUGGCACGACAUCCUGUUGUCCUGAAUGUCAAUGACUGGAUGUUUUGCCAUGGUGGCCUUCUUCCCCAUCAUGUUGAAUACGGGAUCGAACGCAUCAACAAGGAAGUAUCGAAUUGGAUGCAAUGUUCAAGUGAAGACAUCGAUGAUACCGAUCUCCCCUUCAUAGCUACCAGAGGAUAUGACAGUGUAGUAUGGACUCGUUUGUACUCUCAAGAUUCAGUCGAAAGGACGCGGCGUUCUUGGGAUCUAUCUUCUAUUAUCGCUGAACAAACAUUGAAAUCUGUUGGAGCUAAAGGAAUGGUCGUCGGACACACUCCCCAGACUCGUGGAGUGAACUGCAAAUGUGAUGGUAAAGUUUGGUGUGUUGAUGUGGGCAUGUCUUAUGGUGUACUGCAUUCGAGACCAGAGGUCCUAGAAAUAGUCAAUGACAGACCAAGAGUUAUAAAGGGCCAGAGGGGCUCAUAUGAUGAGAUGGAAGUGCUGGACUAUUUAUGAUACCUCGAAAUUUAUGUAUAUAAUAGGCAGCAUUUUACUGGGAAAGAUAUUAUACAAGACAGUUUUGGGUGGACACCCGGUUGACUAAAUUCUUCAGGACAUAUAUACAUCAAAAGAUACCAACCGGCUUUCCAUAACGUGCUUUCCAGGACUGUUCACUCAGUCUUACAUCGCAAAGCAUCGGCUUGCUAAUGAGGCAAGGGACAUAAUAAUAAAUUAUGAGCAACAGCACUGUUAUCAUCUUCAAGUGUUCAUCAAGAAGGCGAAGGACAGCCGGGCACUCAUCCAUAGGAAUUGGAGUGAAGUUGUGUGUGCCAUACGCAUGGAGGAGACCACACUAUGGGCAUUUCGCUUUUUCUGCUUCGCCAACAACCCAGCAGGUCUUCACCUAGAAUGUUACCGUCUAUGAUGUUGAUGAUGUUAAAGAUUUUAGAUGUCAAAUGAGUACUGCUACUGUGCCACUUGUAUAUGUAUGCUAUGGUGCUAUUGUGAUAUCCAUUAAUUAUGCAAUGGUGGUUGACCAUUUGUUA
This is a non-coding RNA of Triticum urartu, 1861 nucleotides long. The record is from RefSeq and is a predicted model, not a curated record. NCBI's taxonomy places the organism in Eukaryota, Viridiplantae, Streptophyta, Magnoliopsida, Poales, Poaceae.